AUUCACUUCCGAAUUAUAAGCACGACACAUGAGGACUGAGCUAUGCUAAGGUUUAAGGUUUGUGUUGUACCCUAAAGUGUUGUCUGCUUGGAGAACUCAACAACAAGAUUAUCGUCACUUCAACUGAAGCCAUGAAACUCCUUCAAACCAUCUUCCGCGAACACAGAAGAAGAUCUGUGAUGCUCGCAGGCAUUGGGCGUCGUUACUUUAAUACAGCCACUGAAGAAUAUUCCAAGAGAAAUUACGCUGUUAAUGAAUUCGAAUACACCACUGUGCUCACUUCUCUUCAUGCUCAGCGGAGGUAUUAUUUGGUGAGAGAUGUUUAUGAUGAUAUGAUGCUGGAUGGUGUUAAACCGGAACUAGAUACAUUUCAUUCUCUUGUUGCUAGUACGAUGAAAGGUGCUCGAUUGCAGGAUGCUUUUUACUUCCGGGAUGAAAUGCGGGCCCUCGGUUUGGUUCCUGAUGUAGCUUUAUACAACUAUUUGAUCUCAACCUGUGCGAAGUGCAAUGAGUCUAACCAGGCAACUCUCAUUUUGGAAGAAAUGAAGCAUUCUGGAGUCAAACCUACUGGACAAACCUUUAUCUGUCUACUUAGCGCGUAUGCAGCUGCUGGCCGACUAGAGAGAGUGUAUGCAGUUGUUCGUGAUAUGACUGCUGCUGGCCUUGGUUUGAACAAAUUCUGCUAUGCAGCACUGAUAACUGCACAUAGGAAUAAGAUACCUCUUGCAGAUGACACAUCCGCCAAAAUCAUCGGGCUUGUUGAGCAGUCUACAGGGUGGUCAGACAUCGAAAACUCAAAAGAUAACGCUGAAAAUGCGGUGAUUGGUGUAUCAGAAGAAGAGUUAUACAGUCUCCCAACUGCUGAAUAUGUUCACCGCCGAUUUGGAAUUGUUAAUAGGAAUUUAACUGUAUAUCAUGCUGCAUUUCAUGCUCUUGCUGAUCUUAAGGAUGUAGAGGCAAUUGAUACUCUCUUGGAGAUGCUUAGACGAUCAAAUGAUGGGCAACCUGAUAUCUUUAUUGGGAUGCAAGUUAUGAGGUGCUAUCUGCAUUCUGGUGACCUUGAUCGUGGUUUUAACACUUUUGUAGAAUGCAUGAGAUCUGGUGCUCCCGUAGUUGAAGUAUUUGUGACCUUUAUUGAAGGAGCCAUGGUUGGCUAUACUCCCAAAGGAAUGCAACUUGCUGAAGAAAAACUGAAAGAAAUGGCAUCUAGGAACUUCUUCUUGAGCUCAAAAAUGGGAAAUGAUCUUCUUAUUUUAGCCUCAGGCGAAAAGACUGGUGGUUUUACUGUUGCGAAUCUGAUUUGGGACAUGAUGCAAAGCAGUAAGUCUGCCAUUUCACUUCCAGCUGUUGAAGCAUAUCACCAAGGCUUAAAGGAUAGAGAGAUUCCUCAUGAUGAUCCACGACUCUCUUUAGUCUCAAAAACUUUGGAUGAUUUGCGUAAGAAAAGUGGAUUUUUAUCAAACUGGACAAACGCAACUCAAAAGGAUAGUUCUGUGCAAUAAGGGUUGUUUCAUCUCACGCUCAGAUGCUUGUUGGGAGCACAGGAUCAAUAAUUUAGGGAUUGAAAUCAGAGGGCGACUCAUGCAGAGAUGGAUCCAGAUGUACUGCUGUAAAAACCGGAAGUACUUGCCAGCCUCUGGGAAUGUGAUAAUCUCUAAAUUUUACAUCUUGUAAAGCUCUUCUGUGCACAAAUUUCACUAGAUUCCCACACCUCAAAGUUUCAUUUACUACCUGCAUAAAAAAAUUGUUGACGAGUAUUCCUUGAUUAACGUUAGGGACGCUGAUGAAAUCUGGUAAGCUUUUUUCAAAUAAACUCAGUUUGCUUUUUAGUCGAAUCAAUAAAGCACAUAUUUCUUUGUUCAA
RNA transcript from Daucus carota subsp. sativus, 1863 nucleotides. It is a transcript of the gene named pentatricopeptide repeat-containing protein At4g35850, mitochondrial, with no coding region annotated. The transcript has 14 exons. The record is from RefSeq and is a predicted model, not a curated record. Lineage: Eukaryota; Viridiplantae; Streptophyta; Magnoliopsida; Apiales; Apiaceae.